UGGGGAAUAUUGGGCAAUGGGCGAAAGCCUUACCCAGCAAUGCCGCGUGAGUGAAGAAGGUCUUCGGAUUGUAAAGCUCUUUGAUCAGGGACGAACACAAUGACGGUACCUGAAGAACAAGCCCCGGCUAACUACGUGCCAGCAGCCGCGGUAAUACGUAGGGGGCAAGCGUUGUCCGGAAUUACUGGGCGUAAAGGGAGCGUAGGCGGUUAAUUAAGUUAGAUGUGAAAUACCCGGGCUUAACUUGGGGGGUGCAUCUAAUACUGGUAAACUAGAGUACAGGAGAGGAAAGCGGAAUUCCUAGUGUAGCGGUGAAAUGCAUAGGAUAUUAGGAGGAACAUCGGU
Molecule: ribosomal RNA, 345 nt
Filed under: uncultured Saccharofermentans sp.
Lineage: Bacteria; Bacillati; Bacillota; Clostridia; Eubacteriales; Oscillospiraceae
Description: bacterial SSU rRNA
Rfam family: Bacterial small subunit ribosomal RNA
Source: RNAcentral